Molecule: ribosomal RNA, 125 nt
Filed under: uncultured bacterium
Lineage: Bacteria
Description: partial 16S ribosomal RNA
Rfam family: Bacterial small subunit ribosomal RNA
Source: RNAcentral
CCUACGGGAGGCAGCAGUGGGGAAUCUUAGACAAUGGGGGAAACCCUGAUCUAGCCAUGCCGCGUGAGUGAUGAAGGCCCUAGGGUCGUAAAGCUCUUUCGCCAGGGAUGAUAAUGACAGUACCU